AGUGAACGCUGGCGGUAGGCCUAACACAUGCAAGUCGAACGGCAGCACAGUAAGAGCUUGCUCUUACGGGUGGCGAGUGGCGGACGGGUGAGGAAUACAUCGGAAUCUACUUUUUCGUGGGGGAUAACGUAGGGAAACUUACGCUAAUACCGCAUACGACCUACGGGUGAAAGCAGGGGAUCUUCGGACCUUGCGCGAUUGAAUGAGCCGAUGUCGGAUUAGCUAGUUGGCGGGGUAAAGGCCCACCAAGGCGACGAUCCGUAGCUGGUCUGAGAGGAUGAUCAGCCACACUGGAACUGAGACACGGUCCAGACUCCUACGGGAGGCAGCAGUGGGGAAUAUUGGACAAUGGGCGCAAGCCUGGUCCAGCCAUACCGCGUGGGUGAAGAAGGCCUUCGGGUUGUAAAGCCCUUUUGUCGGGAAAGAAAAGCAGCAGGUUAAUACCCCGCUGUUCUGACGGUACCCAAAGAAUAAGCACCGGCUAACUUCGU
RNAcentral lists this ribosomal RNA (491 nucleotides) under uncultured bacterium. RNAcentral describes it as "partial 16S ribosomal RNA". It matches the Rfam family "Bacterial small subunit ribosomal RNA", at positions 29 to 506 of the family's 1533-position model. The record is from RNAcentral.